AGGAGGAACAACCCCAGUGGCGGGGCCAGCUCUGGAGCCCUGGAGUCAGCUCCCGCAGUAGCUCAAGAGCUCUGUCUGCAGGGCCUGGAGGCUCCAGGGCGGG
Molecule: microRNA precursor, 103 nt
Filed under: Canis lupus familiaris (dog)
Lineage: Eukaryota; Metazoa; Chordata; Mammalia; Carnivora; Canidae
Also listed under: 1 other name
Description: mir-8834 microRNA precursor family
Rfam family: mir-8834 microRNA precursor family
Source: Rfam by way of RNAcentral